RNAcentral lists this ribosomal RNA (292 nucleotides) under uncultured bacterium. RNAcentral describes it as "partial 16S ribosomal RNA". It matches the Rfam family "Bacterial small subunit ribosomal RNA", at positions 505 to 796 of the family's 1533-position model. The record is from RNAcentral.
GUGCCAGCAGCCGCGGUAAUACAGAGGGUGCGAGCGUUAAUCGGAAUUACUGGGCGUAAAGCGUGCGUAGACGGUUAUGUAAGUCGGAUGUGAAAGCCCCGGGCUCAACCUGGGAAUGGCAUUCGAGACUGCAUAGCUAGGAUGCGGAAGAGGGAAGUGGAAUUUCCGGUGUAGCGGUGAAAUGCGUAGAUAUCGGAAGGAACAUCAGUGGCGAAAGCGACUUCCUGGUCCAGCAUCGACGUUCAGGCACGAAAGCGUGGGGAGCAAACAGGAUUAGAAACCCUGGUAGUCC